Molecule: ribosomal RNA, 253 nt
Filed under: uncultured bacterium
Lineage: Bacteria
Description: partial 16S ribosomal RNA
Rfam family: Bacterial small subunit ribosomal RNA
Source: RNAcentral
GACAGAGGGUGCAAACGUUGUUCGGAAUUACUGGGCGUAAAGCGCGUGUAGGCGGCCCUGCAAGUCGGAUGUGAAAUCCCACGGCUCAACCGUGGAAGUGCAUUCGAAACUGCAGAGCUGGAGUCCUGGAGAGGAAGGCGGAAUUCUCGGUGUAGAGGUGAAAUUCGUAGAUAUCGAGAGGAACACCGGUGGCGAAGGCGGCCUUCUGGACAGUGACUGACGCUGAGACGCGAAAGCGUGGGGAGCAAACAGG